UUUUUUUUUUUCUUUUUUUAAAAUUUCUCCUGAUAAAUAAUUUCAUUUUAGGCCCCAUGCCGUCUUUCCCUGAUUUGAUAUUUCCCCUUUAAUAGUAAUACCCCCUCCAAAAAACCUCAAUUUUCAAACCCUAAUUUCCCUUCCGUACACAUCUUCCGGUCUUUUAACCGGUCUCCGGUGACUAGCCUCUCUUUGCCAGCUUUCUUUUUCAGCUCCUCCGAUUCUUCGAUCGUCGCCGUUGGAUCAUUUGUGGAUUUGGAGCGGGAGAUCAGGGUUUUUAGGUUUAGGAUUCGGAUCCGGGAGGGAAAAGAUGAGUAAUCAGAAGAAGAGGAACUUCCAAAUAGAGGCGUUUAAGCACCGGGUCGUGGUGGAUCCGAAAUACGCUGAUAAGACCUGGAAGAUUCUGGAACAUGCUAUUCAUGAGAUUUACAAUCAUAACGCUAGUGGUCUCAGUUUUGAAGAGCUUUAUAGGAAUGCCUAUAAUAUGGUGCUUCACAAAUUUGGUGAAAAGUUAUAUUCUGGUCUGGUCUCAACUAUGACUUUACAUCUUAAAGAAAUAUCAAAAUCUAUUGAGGCUGCUCAGGGAGAUUCAUUUUUAGAGGAGCUGAACAGGAAAUGGAAUGACCAUAACAAAGCAUUGCAAAUGAUUAGGGAUAUAUUGAUGUACAUGGAUAGGACAUAUAUUCCAAGCACGCAUAAAACUCCAGUUCAUGAGCUUGGACUAAACUUGUGGAGGGAUAAUAUCAUACACUCGAGCAAAAUCCAAACCAGGCUUCUUAAUACACUUCUUGAACUUGUUCACAGAGAACGGACUGUUGAAGUUAUAGACAGAGGAUUGAUGAGGAACAUAAUCAAGAUGCUUAUGGAUUUAGGUUCUUCAGUUUACCAAGAAGACUUUGAGAAGCCAUUUCUUGAGGUUUCAGCUGAGUUUUAUAGGGGUGAAUCUCAAAAAUUUAUUGAAUGCUGUGAUUGUGGGGAAUAUUUGAAAAAAGCCGAGAAACGUUUGAAUGAAGAGAUGGAGAGAGUGACCCACUACUUGGAUACCAAGAGUGAAGUCAAGAUAACUAAUGUGGUGGAGAAGGAAAUGAUUGCUAACCACAUGCUGAGACUAGUGCACAUGGAUAACUCAGGCCUGGUAAAUAUGCUUCUUGAUGAUAAGUAUGAAGACUUGGGAAGAAUGUAUAACCUAUUCCGUCGGGUUCCUAAUGGUCUUCUAAAAAUACGAGAAGUGAUGACUUCUCACCUCAGGGAGACAGGAAAACAACUAGUUACUGAUCCAGAAAGAUUGAAGGAUCCUGUGGAAUUUGUUCAGCGUUUGCUGGAUGAAAAAGAUAAGUAUGAUAGCAUCAUAAGCUUGGCAUUCAACAAUGAUAAGACAUUCCAGAAUGCUUUGAAUUCCUCUUUUGAAUACUUCAUUAACUUGAAUGCUCGCUCUCCUGAGUUUAUCUCGUUGUUCGUGGACGACAAACUUCGGAAAGGUCUAAAGGGAGUUAGUGAGGAAGAUGUGGAGAUUAUUCUUGAUAAAGUGAUGAUGUUGUUCCGUUACUUGCAGGAGAAAGAUGUAUUUGAGAAGUAUUAUAAACAGCAUUUGGCUAAACGGUUGUUAUCAGGUAAAACUGUCUCUGAUGACGCAGAGAGAAGUUUAAUAGUCAAACUUAAGACUGAAUGUGGAUAUCAAUUCACUUCAAAGUUAGAAGGCAUGUUUACUGACAUGAAGACCUCCCAGGACACAAUGCAAGGGUUUUAUGCAAGCCACCCUGAGCUAGGGGAUGGACCUACACUGGUUGUCCAGGUUUUGACAACGGGAUCUUGGCCAACUCAGCCUAGUGUUACUUGCAACUUGCCUACUGAAAUGUCAGCACUAUGUGAGAAGUUCCGAUCCUAUUACCUUGGAACCCAUACCGGUCGGAGACUCUCCUGGCAGACUAACAUGGGCACAGCAGACAUUAAAGCAACAUUUGGGAAGGGUCAGAAACACGAGUUGAAUGUUUCUACUUAUCAAAUGUGCGUCCUUAUGCUGUUUAACAAUGCUGAUCGGCUUAGCUACAAGGAGAUUGAGCAAGCAACAGAAAUUCCUGCUUCAGACCUGAAGAGGUGCCUGCAAUCUAUGGCUUGUGUGAAAGGAAAGAAUGUGCUUCGAAAAGAGCCCAUGAGUAAAGACAUUGGUGAGGAAGAUGCUUUUUUCGUCAACGACAAAUUUACAAGCAAAUUCUACAAGGUGAAGAUAGGAACUGUAGUUGCACAAAAGGAAUCAGAACCUGAAAAGCAAGAGACUCGGCAGAGAGUGGAGGAGGACAGGAAGCCCCAGAUAGAAGCAGCAAUAGUUAGGAUCAUGAAAUCAAGAAGGGUGUUGGAUCAUAACAAUAUAAUUGCUGAGGUCACAAAGCAGUUGCAGUCGCGAUUUCUGGCCAAUCCCACAGAGAUUAAGAAACGUAUUGAGUCUCUUAUUGAACGAGAUUUCUUAGAGAGGGAUAGUUCUGACAGAAAAUUGUAUCGGUACCUUGCUUAAAAGGAUGGCUUGAGCAGGUUACUCUUUUUUCCUUCUUGUGGGAAGGUUUAAGCAUUACCAAUUGGAUUGUACCUUGGAGCCGUAUUAGUUUCCCUUAAGGUUGCGUCUUGAAUUUUGAUUUUACUACGAAGAGAAGUGAUGUGCCUUUGGUUUGACCACAAAGGGAAAGUUAUUAUCGCCAUCUACCGGUUUCAAGUUCCAAAUAGUUCUGCCUUGCCUCUGUCCCAUGGCGACAGGAUUUUCCUCAAACCUCUGUAAAAUGUUGUACAGGUCGAAUUCUAUAGGCUUUUAUCUUGUAUUUCAGAUUGUGCUGGUUGUUCAGGUGAUUAAUGUUAAUGUUCCUGGAUUAUGAUUA
This is a non-coding RNA of Jatropha curcas, 2864 nucleotides long. The record is from RefSeq and is a predicted model, not a curated record. Lineage: Eukaryota; Viridiplantae; Streptophyta; Magnoliopsida; Malpighiales; Euphorbiaceae.